GGGAUUAGGGAUUUCAAUCUGAGCUAGGGAUUUAACCUGAGGAGUAAGCGAAAAUUAGGGAUUGCUAUUCGAAAGAAGAAGAAGUAGACAAAGACUAUCAUCACGUGGAGGGCUUUGCAGGAGGUUGAACAUCACCAUGCAGCAUGAACAUCACCAUGCAGCCUGUACCUCACAAUGUUCGUAGUAUAGUACACAUUUCAACAUGCAAAAUCUGGC
This 216-nucleotide long non-coding RNA is filed under the name Vigna radiata. RNAcentral's name for it is "long non-coding RNA (VRAD_LNC005960)". The record is from RNAcentral. Lineage: Eukaryota; Viridiplantae; Streptophyta; Magnoliopsida; Fabales; Fabaceae.